Long non-coding RNA from Megalops cyprinoides (Indo-Pacific tarpon), 411 nucleotides. RefSeq lists it as uncharacterized. The transcript has 3 exons. Lineage: Eukaryota; Metazoa; Chordata; Actinopteri; Elopiformes; Megalopidae. The record is from RefSeq and is a predicted model, not a curated record.
AUGAAACAAAAGGCUGGCUAUUCUGACAGUCCUUUGGACCAUCACCAACAUACAUCUGAUGAAUGUGCUGUGCGAGGGAGGAUGUAAGUGUCUGACUGUGAAGCAGUCACCUGCAGAAAUCACUCUGCCUACAGGAAGCACUGGCCAGCUCCUCUGCAGGUGGGAUUAUGACUGUGAAGCACUGAGAGCCCUAGUGCAGUGGUCACAGAAUGGAAGUAGACAUCUCCAGCAAAACUCAACAACCAGUGGGCCAACAAGUGAAACAUUUACAUACAACCUCACUGGAUCAAAUGACUCUGGGCUGCACAGACAACAUUGCGAAAGGAGAGAGGUCGGUGUUUCCUCAGUAUCUUGUGAUAGCUGCGGUUUGCGGCGGCACUUUGAUGAUCCUCCUCUUCAUUGCACUGAGCG